UACGUAGGGUGCAAGCGUUGUCUGGAAUUAUUGGGCGUAAAGAGCUCGUAGGCGGUCAGUCGCGUCUGCUGUGAAAACUCGGGGCUUAACUCCGGGCCUGCAGUGGGUACGGGCUGACUAGAGUGCGGUAGGGGAGACUGGAAUUCCUGGUGUAGCGGUGAAAUGCGCAGAUAUCAGGAAGAACACCCGUGGCGAAGGCGGCUCUCUGGGACGGUACUGACGCUGAGACGCGAAAAGCGUGGGGGAGCAAACAGG
RNAcentral lists this ribosomal RNA (255 nucleotides) under uncultured bacterium. RNAcentral's name for it is "partial 16S ribosomal RNA". It matches the Rfam family "Bacterial small subunit ribosomal RNA", at positions 524 to 776 of the family's 1533-position model. The record is from RNAcentral.